Molecule: long non-coding RNA, 1055 nt
Filed under: Zea mays
Lineage: Eukaryota; Viridiplantae; Streptophyta; Magnoliopsida; Poales; Poaceae
Description: long non-coding RNA (ZMAY_LNC002590)
Source: RNAcentral
UUCGGGCAAAUCCCUAAGUACGAUCCGGAAGUCCACCACCUGUUUUUGACACACAACUUAGUGCACCAAUUUCACAUAAUCAGGCUCAUAAACGACGCCGCACCUACGCACAAACUCAAACCCCGCCGCGGGUUACAUCUCUCCCCACACCCACCAAACUGCAGCGGCGCUGCUUAAUAAUUUCAUAACUUUAAAAUUAUGACAGCAGUGGUAACAAACAAAAACUCCAGAGGCAUCUACAUGAAAUUCCCCACAAGUUUUGUAUACAAUUUAUAAUUAAAUUCCAACAUCUAAUUAGCCCAAAACAGUCCACAAGAUGAACCCUCUAAUCUGUUUUUUUGUCUUUUGGACAGCGACAUACCCGGAUUCAAACAACGAUAUCUUUUAAAAUAUAAUUCCAAAUCAAGCACAUAAGUACUUAUUGGAAAGAUAAGACAAAGCCCUACAUGAUUAUUAUACUGGUUAACACUAAUUACCCACGAAAAAUUCACAGAAACUGCUAAUACUACUGCUGUUCACCCACCUGAAAAAUCUGUUUUUUUGGACAGCAACAUAACCGGAUUCAAACAACGAUAUCUCCUAAAUUAUAACUCCAAAUCGAGCGCAUAAGUACUCGUUGGAAAGGUAUGACAAAGCUCUACAUGAUUCUCCCACUGAUCCCUACUAAUUGCCCACGAAAAAUUCCCAGAAAUCACUAGAACUACUGCUGUUCGUCCACCCACUAAAAUUCUGGACAGCACAUCUACCAAAUCGCAUAGGUAAACAUGUAACCAAUUAGAUUGCAGCACAAAUACAACAAAAUGAUCACGAAAAUCACCUUGGGUUCCUCCUUUCCUCCUUCUUUUCUUCCUUCUUCCUCCCUCCAAACUCCCAUGGAAGACUCGCACCCACACGACGGACACCAAGCGGGGAGGCUCCACCUUGGAGAGGAAGAGGUGGGGGGGCUAGGGUUGAGGGGUGGCGCUGCAAUCACUUGGGGAAGAAGGAGAGGGAUUGGGGCGGCUGCAAGAGUGGAAGAGAGAGGGGAGGGGCGGCCAAAGGGGUGGGGGAGUGAG